Molecule: small nucleolar RNA, 135 nt
Filed under: Dasypus novemcinctus (nine-banded armadillo)
Lineage: Eukaryota; Metazoa; Chordata; Mammalia; Cingulata; Dasypodidae
Description: Small nucleolar RNA SNORA42/SNORA80 family (ENSDNOG00000042233.1)
Rfam family: Small nucleolar RNA SNORA42/SNORA80 family
About the family: The members of this family belong to the H/ACA class of snoRNAs that guide the sites of modification of uridines to pseudouridines.
Source: RNAcentral
GCAUGGAUAUGGAUUUAUGGCAGGCCCAUUCCUCUGAGCCUAUCAUAAUGUCCUAUGCUGGAGCAAACUGUAACCCUGAACUUUUGCCUGACCUCCUUGUCUGUAGGCCUAGGCACUAAAGCAGUUUUCACAGUG